This 468-nucleotide ribosomal RNA is filed under the name uncultured bacterium. RNAcentral describes it as "partial 16S ribosomal RNA". It matches the Rfam family "Bacterial small subunit ribosomal RNA", at positions 28 to 507 of the family's 1533-position model. The record is from RNAcentral.
GACGAACGCUGGCGGCGUGCUUAACACAUGCAAGUCGAACGGAAAGGCCGUGCGUGCGUGGGGUGAUCGAGGGGCGAACGCGUGCGGAACACGUGAGCAACCUGCCCUUGACUUUGGGAUAACUUCAGGAAACGGGGGCUAAUACCGUAUAGCAGAUCCUGCUCCGUGGAGGGGGUUGGAUAGUUUCGGCGGUUGGGGAUGGACGCGCGGCUGAUCAGCUUGUUGGUGGGGUAGUGGUUUACCAAGGCUGGGACGGGUCGCCGGCCUGGGAGGGUGACCGGCGACAUGGGUACUGAGAUACGGCGCAGAGUGCUAUGGGAGGCAGCAGUGGGGAGUAUUGCACAAUGGGCGGAAGCCUGUUGCAGCAGCGCCGCGUUCGGGAUGACGGCCUUCUGGUUGUAAACCGCUUUCGCCUGUGACGAAGCGUUAGUGACGGUAAUCGGUGAAGAAGCACCGGCUAACUACGUG